UUCAUCCUUCAGCCCCUGUGUCUGACCAGCUGUUGGCAGUAGACUCUCUUACUUGGGAAAAGGAGGUACGGGGACCCCAAAAGUGUCAUCUGUCUGUUCUGGAGGAAUGCAUGAGAGUAUACAGACUCUGGGGCCAGCGAGACGGCUCAGCAGGGAGAGGCAGGGGCCUCGGAAGCUGAUCACCUGAGUCUUAUUUCCAGCUCCCACACGAUGGAAGGAGAAAGCCAACUUCCAAAAGAUGUCUUCUGACCUGCGCUCGUGCACCCAUGCAGGGAAGGCUGGAGUGGAUGUUGUCUAACAACCUGCUGAUCUUCUGCUGGUCUACGGAGCCAGGCUUCACCUGAAUCCACCAAAAUCCUGAGCAUUGUCUAGACCCUAAUCCUGGGCUUUGUCUCUCAGUGAAGACCCAUGAUCAUGAUGGCUCUUUGCAUUUUCAACGUACAGAACCCAUCCUUAUGCCUACUACAAAUCUCUCCUCCUUACACCCUUGUCUGCAUGCUGUUUCUCUGUGAACAACAACCAUUCUUACUCAUUUAAGACAUGUACUUUGCAAGGGAGUUUCCAUGUAACUACAUCUAAAGCUUUGUUGUGAUAAUUGUCUUGUAGAAACCUUUCCCCAAAUGUUUGCUGUGCUUAAAUGUGUAAGGAUAAUAAACUGCUCUCAG
Molecule: non-coding RNA, 665 nt
Organism: Rattus norvegicus (Norway rat)
Lineage: Eukaryota; Metazoa; Chordata; Mammalia; Rodentia; Muridae
Source: RefSeq, a predicted model, not a curated record